CGGGUGGCGGGUGACAGGUCGCGGGCAGGCACGUGCCGGGCCCUUGCGGUCGGUCGGCGGAGGGGAUCAAGGCAGGGCUCGGUGUCCGCGGUCGGAGUGGGGUCUGGCGUCCCGUUGACCGUCGCCGUCGUCCUCGUUAGUAUAGUGGGUCUCAAGCGCCCGAGCCCGUCGUGUCCGGUCUUGGCCUCUGGCUGCACGCCUGUGCGCCCCGGUGGGAGAAGGAGGAGGUGGCGGUGUUUGGAAGGUGGACUGCGAUCGGGACCAGAGCUGCUGGGGCAGGUGGGUUGCCGGUUGCCGCGGGGGCAGCGCUGGCGUCGCGGGGGCUGGCGGUGCGUGUUUGUUUUAAACCCAAGCAGGGAAC
RNAcentral lists this long non-coding RNA (361 nucleotides) under Callithrix jacchus (white-tufted-ear marmoset). Its description in RNAcentral is "lncRNA (ENSCJAG00000071836.1)". The record is from RNAcentral. Lineage: Eukaryota; Metazoa; Chordata; Mammalia; Primates; Cebidae.